CAUCUGAACCUAACCCAAAGCUAAUAACCUUUAAAACAUCAGGCAUGGGUGUAUUAAAUACUGCAAGCAGCAUGUGAAAUAUCAUCUCGUGAAGACAGAAGAGAGUCUAAAGACCAAGACAUCAGCGUUUAUUUUCUAAAAGAGUUUGGUUUUACAUUCUGCAUUACAUGGCCAACUAAAGGGAAUGGAAGAUGCACUCAUGGCUUUAGAGGUAUUAUCACAAUAUUACAUCAAAUACCCUGGCAUAUUGGAGGCUAUGGCAACGCAUAACGCUAAUACUCCGUUUUGUUCUAGCACAUGUGCUACUUUUGGAGAGCCUGAAAAGAUGCCAAUAACGGUAGAAACGCCUCAGGUUCCAUGGGCAUACAUAUACUUUAAUGUGAUUGGCUCUCAGAUCCAGAUAUAAGAUUAAGUGAAUCACCGAGGCCCGAAUUACACGAAUAUGGAAGAAUAUCGGGUGUGUGCUUUGAAUCUUUGAUGCAGCCCUUGGAAUUACUAAGGGGCUCAAGGUAAUAUUUUGGAUUUUGGUAAUUCUGUCUUUGAAAAUAGAUAUUAUACAGAGUAUUUAACCAAGCAUAAUCUGAUAUCGACACAAAAAUUUCAUUACCCCAGGUUGUACGCCUAAGUAAAAAACAUAUUAUUUUCAUAAUUUCUGUUGUGUAAAAGCUUCAAAAGCUGCCGUAAAAACUUUAAUGGUAUAUGUAUGUCUGAAAAUAUGUUUUGAUAUUUUGUACCAACGGGCUUAAUACGGAAAGUGUUGUCCCAUGUUUGAUUCGCCUCUGGUUUCAAUCUAGGUGGCUUGUUAAAAAGAAAAAUGGUAAUGGUAAUCACUCAUUUCUCAAUCCAAACACAAAAGGCAACAAUGGGAAAUCCAAACAAAGGCACAACAAAUACCAUAACAUAACACAAAACACGACUAAGAGAGCACAAAAAUUACACGAAAAACAUGCAACGAAGGCGGAUUUGGUGUAAAUACAGUUGGAGUAUAGAUCAAGUAGAGUAGGAUAGGUAUAUGGGUGUGGCCAUGUGGGUUGGGGUAUAAAAUACAUCAGAAUGAUAGUCACUUACACCUGAACACUCGAGACCAAAUAUUAUGAUUUUCAUGUAGUAGUAGUAGUAACCAGUUUUAAGGCCCUCCUUGCUACUGAGAGUGAUCAUCAAAAUGUACCACAUGUAUGGAAAUAUUGUUGAAAGGGAUGAUCACAACUUAAAGAAUCAAAAUCAGGUACAA
Long non-coding RNA from Helianthus annuus (common sunflower), 1231 nucleotides. RefSeq lists it as uncharacterized. The transcript is spliced from 4 exons. The record is from RefSeq and is a predicted model, not a curated record. Lineage: Eukaryota; Viridiplantae; Streptophyta; Magnoliopsida; Asterales; Asteraceae.